This 798-nucleotide long non-coding RNA is filed under the name Equus asinus (donkey). RNAcentral's name for it is "lncRNA (ENSEASG00005035407.1)". The record is from RNAcentral. Lineage: Eukaryota; Metazoa; Chordata; Mammalia; Perissodactyla; Equidae.
CUGCCUGUCCUGCCUCUCAUGGAAACACACUGUCCUGGGCUUUAUAGGAAUCAAGCAGUUAUGUCCAGAGCCCCAGCUUCAUCUGCCCUCACUUUAUUGCCCUGCCUGGUCUUCUACUACUUUCUCCAAUAGUCAAGGGUAUCUUCUCCUCAUCUCCCAUAGACCAGGGCUUAGCUGAAGGAUCAGGACAGGCCUAGAGGGAGCCAUGCAGGGGAGGACGAGGACAGAAGUGAGGGAUUCUGGACCUAAGCUUCUCUCAAGAGAAGGUGAUCAACAGAACUCUGCUGACCAGCGGUUGGUGAUCAUUCGAUAUUCAUCGACAUCUAUUCCACUCAGCAGCAGGCACUUUGAGAGGCACUGGAGAUGAUCACACCUGGAGAACCUCAGCCUCUGCCUUCAAGGGGACACGAAAAUCCAUGAUGAAAUGCCAUGUGAUACGUGCUAUGAUUCCAACAUAUGACUCAGCCCUCCCAAUUUCAUGUCAUCUGAAAAUAUGGCAUACAUGCCUUCCAUGUCUUCAUCCAGGUCCAUGAUAAAAAUUGUCAAAGGAGAGAGAAAACUUUGGCACAGUACCAGAGAUCUUCAUCCAAACAAUCUCAAAUCGUUCAUCAGCUAUGAAUCUACCUAACAUGACAGGAUCCAGCCCACAUUUCUAUAUUAAUAUCACAAGACUCCAUCAAAUGCCUGAAAAAAUGAAGAAGGGCAACAUUCUAUGCAGGGAGGAAUAAUGAGAAAAAGAGCAGAGAAACAUGUGAUCUAUUUCUCAUAUGGAGAAUAUUCUCUCUGUAUUAAAAAAUU